GACGAACGCUGGCGGCGUGCCUAAUACAUGCAAGUUGAGCGAUGAAGCUUGGUGCUUGCACCAAUUUGAAGAGCAGCGAACGGGUGAGUAACGCGUGGGGAAUCUGCCUUUGAGCGGGGGACAACAUUUGGAAACGAAUGCUAAUACCGCAUAACAACUUUAAACAUAAGAUUUAAGUUUGAAAGAUGCAAUUGCAUCACUCAAAGAUGAUCCCGCGUUGUAUUAGCUAGUUGGUGAGGUAAAGGCUCACCAAGGCGAUGAUACAUAGCCGACCUGAGAGGGUGAUCGGCCACAUUGGGACUGAGACACGGCCCAAACUCCUACGGGAGGCAGCAGUAGGGAAUCUUCGGCAAUGGACGAAAGUCUGACCGAGCAACGCCGCGUGAGUGAAGAAGGUUGUCGGAUCGUAAAACUCUGUUGGUAGAGAAGAACGUUGGUGAGAGUGGAAAGCUCAUCAAGUGACGGUAACUACCCAGAAAGGGACGGCUAACUACGUG
Molecule: ribosomal RNA, 497 nt
Filed under: uncultured bacterium
Lineage: Bacteria
Description: partial 16S ribosomal RNA
Rfam family: Bacterial small subunit ribosomal RNA
Source: RNAcentral